RNAcentral lists this unclassified non-coding RNA (194 nucleotides) under uncultured Pochonia. Its description in RNAcentral is "sequence contains ITS2". The record is from RNAcentral. Lineage: Eukaryota; Fungi; Ascomycota; Sordariomycetes; Hypocreales; Clavicipitaceae.
CAACCCUCAAGCCCCAGCGGUUUGGUGUUGGGGACCGGCGAGUACAGAGGCUUGGGGGGACUUGUCCCUCUUUCCUCGGCGCCGCCCCCGAAAUGAAUUGGCGGUCUCGUCGCGGCCUCCUCUGCGUAGUAGCACAACCUCGCAUCAGGAGCGCGGCGCGGCCACUGCCGUAAAACGCCCAACUUUUUUAAGAG